AGUCAAUAGAUACCCUGGUAGUCCACGCCGUAAACGAUGGUCACUAGGUGUGUGUGGUAUCGACCCCACACGUGCCGCAGCUAACGCAAUAAGUGACCCGCCUGGGGAGUACGGCCGCAAGGUUGAAACUCAAAGGAAUUGACGGGGGCCCGCACAAGCGGUGGAGCAUGUGGAUUAAUACGUCACUAACCGUAGAACCUUACCCAGGCUUGACAUCCCCGGAACCUUCCUGAAAGGGAGGGGUGCCUCGCAAGAGGAGCCGGGAGACAGGUGUUGCAUGGCUGCCGUCAGCUCGUGUCGUGAGAUGUUGGGUUAAGUCCCGCAACGAGCGCAACCCUCACCGCAUGUUGCCAGCGUCAAGUCGGGCACUCUUGCGGAACUGCCCGGGUAACCGGGAGGAAGGUGAGGACGACGUCAAGUCAGCAUGGCCCUUACGCCUGGGGCUUCACACAUGCUACAAUGGCCGGUACAGAGGGUCCCGAUACCGUGAGUGGAGGCAAUCCCAAAAAGCCGGUCUCAGUUCGGAUCGCAGG
Molecule: ribosomal RNA, 533 nt
Filed under: uncultured bacterium
Lineage: Bacteria
Description: bacterial SSU rRNA
Rfam family: Bacterial small subunit ribosomal RNA
Source: RNAcentral